RNAcentral lists this long non-coding RNA (295 nucleotides) under Capsella rubella. RNAcentral's name for it is "long non-coding RNA (CRUB_LNC001846)". Lineage: Eukaryota; Viridiplantae; Streptophyta; Magnoliopsida; Brassicales; Brassicaceae. The record is from RNAcentral.
UAGUCGGCGUUUUUACUCUGAUAAAAGAUAACAUCCGUACGUCGAUGUGAUGUGGAUGAAAGUGGAGAAUGUAUGUAUGUGUAUAUAUGCUACAUAGACUGCAUAUAUGUAUGUAUAGUUUGUAUAGGUGAUAGAUGUGAAUGCAUAGAUGGAUGAAUAGGCUACAUAGGCCGCAUAGAUGUAUGUAUAUGUGUAUAUGUAUGUGAAUUCAUAGAUGUAUGAUUAGGCUACAUAGAUGUAUGAAUAGGCUGCAUAGGCGUAUGAAUAGGCUACAUAUAUGUAUGAAUAGGCUGCA